AUUGAACGCUGGCGGCAGGCCUAACACAUGCAAGUCGAACGCGUGGCGGACGGGUGAGUAAUGUCUGGGAAACUGCCUGAUGGAGGGGGAUAACUACUGGAAACGGUAGCUAAUACCGCAUACCAUCCAAUGUGCCAAGAUGGGAUUAGCUAGUAGGUGGGGUAAUGGCGCACCUAGGCCACGAUCCCUAGCUGGUCUGAGAGGAUGACCAGCCACACUGGAACUGAGACACGGUCCAGACUCCUACGGGAGGCAGCAGUGGGGAAUAUUGCCCAAUGGGCGCAAGCCUGAUGCAGCCAUGCCGCGUGUGUGAAGAAGGCCUUCGGGUUGUAAAGCACUUUCAGCGGGGAGGCGUUACCCGCAGAAGAAGCACCGGCUAACUCCGUGCCAGCCGCCGCGGUAAUUC
Molecule: ribosomal RNA, 406 nt
Filed under: uncultured bacterium
Lineage: Bacteria
Description: partial 16S ribosomal RNA
Rfam family: Bacterial small subunit ribosomal RNA
Source: RNAcentral